This is a long non-coding RNA of Vidua chalybeata, 457 nucleotides long. RefSeq lists it as uncharacterized. The transcript is spliced from 2 exons. The record is from RefSeq and is a predicted model, not a curated record. Lineage: Eukaryota; Metazoa; Chordata; Aves; Passeriformes; Viduidae.
CCGUCCAGCCCAAGCAGCAGAGGACACCUGGCUCAGAUGCAAUUCCCUGAGUUGGCACAUGGCCAUGAAGCAAAGUCCAAAGAUCCCACUGUGAAGUGAGCUGCAGGCUCCUGAACGACUGCUAAGAAGGGCUGGGCUCUGCUUGUGUUAUCUGAAAGAUUGUGCUGUGAGCCUUGGGGGUUCAGCUCUGCCUUACCCAGAGCACCACCACCUGCUGCAGGUGCUGGCAGUGCUGGACUGCCCACAGCACCUGCAACGUUGACACCUUCUCAGAAUAUCAUUAGCUCAGCAAAUUCAUUUUGAGAUGCCAGAAAUGGGUUGCAAAGAUCAACUCUUUGUCAGCAAUAUCUGAGGAGGAGUCAGCAGGUCUCACACCCAUCUCAAAGGCAGAGGGGAAUUCUGACUGUCUCAUGUCUGGAUUCACUAUAUGCUCACCAAAGAAAAGUAUUUCUCCUAG